RNAcentral lists this ribosomal RNA (436 nucleotides) under Cystobasidium laryngis. RNAcentral describes it as "partial large subunit ribosomal RNA". It matches the Rfam family "Eukaryotic large subunit ribosomal RNA", at positions 103 to 542 of the family's 3401-position model. Lineage: Eukaryota; Fungi; Basidiomycota; Cystobasidiomycetes; Cystobasidiales; Cystobasidiaceae. The record is from RNAcentral.
AAAAGCUCAACUUUGAAAUCUGGUACUUUCAGUAUCCGAAUUGUAGUCUCAAGAAGUGUUUUCUGUGCCGGUCCAUGUAUGAGUCUGUUGGAACACAGCGUCAUAGAGGGUGACAACCCCGUUCAUGACAUGGAUCCCGGUGCUUUGUGAUACACUCUCGAAGAGUCGAGUUGUUUGGGAAUGCAGCUCAAAUUGGGUGGUAAAUUCCAUCUAAAGCUAAAUAUUGGCGAGAGACCGAUAGCAAACAAGUACCGUGAGGGAAAGAUGAAAAGCACUUUGGAAAGAGAGUUAACAGUACGUGAAAUUGUUGAAAGGGAAACGAUUGAAGUCAGACGUGCGUGAUGCGGUUCAGCUUUAGUUCGCUAGAGUGUACUCCGUAUCUUUGCAGGCCAACAUCGGUUUUGUUAGUCGGAUAAAGGUUUGAGAAAUGUGGCAC